This is a long non-coding RNA of Daphnia magna, 1312 nucleotides long. RefSeq lists it as uncharacterized. Lineage: Eukaryota; Metazoa; Arthropoda; Branchiopoda; Diplostraca; Daphniidae. The transcript is spliced from 5 exons. The record is from RefSeq and is a predicted model, not a curated record.
UACUGCCGUGUGGUUGGGGACUUACCACAGGCAGCUCGGGACCAAGCAACGCAUAUGCUACGUCAGACAUCUUACCUUACCUUACUUGGGAAAAAGAAAUGCAAAUUAUUACCUUUUAAAGCUGUGUCCCGCUCGCCUGCUUCCUUUUCUGCUUUACAGCAGUUCUUCUGUAGGAGGAGUAUCACUCCUACAUUAAGGGAAAUGACGUCUUGAAGUUACAAUAAUGAUCUGUCAGUUGUCAUUCUUGCCACCAGGUGCCGUUUACCACGGCCGGGCGUCUGCUGUGUUUUUGGUGUGCUAGUGCAUUCUGCUACAUUUUGCUCUUGAGGAAAUAAUCUAGUUCUUUAAAUGUUUAUAUUGUUUUAUUCUCUUAGUUAAAACAAAUCGCCUUUUUGUUUGGUUCUAAAGACAAAGUUCAAUAUCGUAUACGUGUUAUCAAACAAACUCUUGCCCUAGUAAAGAAAUGUAAUAUAAGGUGAUGAAGGUUAAAGAGAGAUUUAAAGAAGUACGGACCAAAAAGCCACUUAAGUACUACGCUAUCAUCCUACCACACUACUAUGUAUGCUGCUCUGACCUACUUUAUUGAAGCCCUGAAGUACUUACUCAGCUCCAAGUUACCACACGGAUGCAACAGUUUAUUGCACCACAACUUACACUACUUCAAGCUACCACAAGGAGGUCCCCCAAAUAUUACACAACAAAGGCACCAGAGUACUACACAACAAAUAACGCUACACCAAGCUACUAAAUUGAAGCUCUGAAGUACUACAUAUUACACUGCCCCAAGCUAUAUCAUCGCUACAGUUUCCUACUACACCACAACAGAAGCAACCAAGUGAUCUGGAGGAUCCUUGCAUAUCAUUAAUGGUCUUCCCUUCGUGUUCUCACAGCAAGGAAGCCACACCCCAAUUCGAGACCUUCACCUCGAUGGCUGUCUUCAACUACCUUUACGGGGAAGUUUAUCAGGAAAUCCUUAAAUGUUUCUGCCGGCUCUGGAAGUGCGCAUCUGUGGAGAAAGCAGGGCAAGAUUUGAAACAUUCUCUUGCUAAACAAUUUUUUUCACGCUACUACACAACAAGUUAAGAGUCUGUUGAAGAGUUGUUGUUCAAGAGUCUGUAAGCAAAUACAACUCGAAACGUCAAGGGUUGGUAUGGGAUUGGCCCACCAUUCCUAUGCUGACCCUUACCGUGUAAUCGGGCAUGGGUAACGUAUUUGUUAGAUGUCAUGUGUAGUUGAAAAUGAUUUGAUGGACUAUUUUCUUAACCCAUCUGCAUGGCAAACGUUUGGUGAAAUAAAGAUCCUUAUUAUUGUU